CAAAGCACUUUGAAGAGAGAGUUAAAGAGGACGUGAAACCGAUGAGGUGGAAACGGAUAGAGCCGGCGAAUCUAUUUCGUAUUCAGCUAGUCAACUUGUUGACUGGUGCAUUUGCGGAAAGAGUGCGCUGAGUGGCAUGGUGUAGCGGUUUGAUGUUGGCGAAGAGGAUAUGCUUCGGCGUAUAACCUUCAUCUUCGUAAAGCUGUUUGCGCUGUGUUUAAAGACUAUGGCCUACGUGAUAUGCUGGUAGCUUUGUGGGGUUGAGUGGCGGUCGCUUGCGACACGUGCUUGAUUCUGUUUGGUUAUUAGCCGUUCACUCUUAGUCUAGCUCGGUGUAAAAGCCGGUCAUCUAUCCGACCCGUCUUGAAACACGGACCAAGGAGUUUAGCGUGUGCGCGAGCCAUUGGGUGAAAAACUCAAAGGCGUAAUGAAAGUGAAGGCCACUCCGUGGUUGAUAUGCGACCCUAUCAAUCGAUGGGAGCAGCAUAGCCCCGUCUCUAUUGCUUGCAAUGGGGCGGAGGUAGAGCGUAUUCGCUGAGACCCGAAAGAUGGUGAACUAUGCCUGAGCAGGAUGAAGCCAGAGGAAACUCUGGUGGAAGUCCGAAGCGGUUCUGACGUGCAAAUCGAUCGUCUGACUUGGGUAUAGGGGCGAAAGACUAAUCGAACCAUC
RNAcentral lists this ribosomal RNA (670 nucleotides) under Cephalenchus sp. 2 TJP-2016. RNAcentral's name for it is "eukaryotic LSU rRNA". It matches the Rfam family "Eukaryotic large subunit ribosomal RNA", at positions 367 to 944 of the family's 3401-position model. The record is from RNAcentral. Lineage: Eukaryota; Metazoa; Nematoda; Chromadorea; Rhabditida; Tylenchidae.